RNAcentral lists this ribosomal RNA (301 nucleotides) under uncultured bacterium. Its description in RNAcentral is "partial 16S ribosomal RNA". It matches the Rfam family "Bacterial small subunit ribosomal RNA", at positions 509 to 807 of the family's 1533-position model. The record is from RNAcentral.
CAGUCGCCGCGGUAAUACGAAGGGGGCUAGCGUUGCUCGGAAUCACUGGGCGUAAAGGGUGCGUAGGCGGGUUUUUAAGUCAGAGGUGAAAUCCUGGAGCUCAACUCCAGAACUGCCUUUGAUACUGAAAGUCUUGAGUUCGGGAGAGGUGAGCGGAACUGCGAGUGUAGAGGUGAAAUUCGUAGAUAUUCGCAAGAACACCAGUGGCGAAGGCGGCUCACUGGCCCGAUACUGACGCUGAGGCACGAAAGCGUGGGGAGCAAACAGGAUUAGAUACCCCCGUAGUCCCUGUCUCUUAUAC